CCUACGGGUGGCAGCAGUGAGGAAUAUUGGUCAAUGGACGAGAGCCUGACCCAGCCAAGUAGCGUGAAGGAUGACUGCCCUAUGGGUUGUAAACUUCUUUUAUAUGGGAAUAAAAUGUUCCCCGUGUGGGAUUUUGUAUGUACCAUAUGAAUAAGGAACGACUAACUCCGUGCCAGCCGCCGCGGUAAUACGGAGGAUCCGAGCGUUGUCCGGAUUUAUUGGGUUUAAAGGGCGCGUAGGUGGAUUGGUAAGUCAGUUGGGAAAGUUUGCGGCUCAACCGUAAAAUUGCAGUUGAAACUGGCAGUCUUGAGUACAGUAGAGGUGGGCGGAAUUCGUGGUGUAGCGGUGAAAUGCUUAGAUAUCACGAAGAACUCCGAUUGCGAAGGCAGCUUACUGGACUGCAACUGACACUGAGGCUCGAAAGUGUGGGUAUCAAACAGGAUUAGAUACCCGUGUAGUC
RNAcentral lists this ribosomal RNA (460 nucleotides) under uncultured bacterium. RNAcentral's name for it is "partial 16S ribosomal RNA". It matches the Rfam family "Bacterial small subunit ribosomal RNA", at positions 338 to 795 of the family's 1533-position model. The record is from RNAcentral.